RNAcentral lists this ribosomal RNA (326 nucleotides) under uncultured eukaryote. Its description in RNAcentral is "partial 18S ribosomal RNA". It matches the Rfam family "Eukaryotic small subunit ribosomal RNA", at positions 1470 to 1796 of the family's 1831-position model. The record is from RNAcentral.
CCCUUAGAUGUUCUGGGCCGCACGCGCGCUACACUGAUGCAUUCAACGAGCCUAACCCUGACCGAGAGGUCCGGGUAAUCUUUGAAACUGCAUCGUGAUGGGGCUAGAUUAUUGCAAUUAUUAAUCUUCAACGAGGAAUGCCUAGUAAGCGUGAUUCAUCAAAUCGCGUUGAUUACGUCCCUGCCCUUUGUACACACCGCCCGUCGCUCCUACCGAUUGAGUGUGUUGGUGAGGAGUUCGGAUUGGCUCUUAGUGGUGGUUCGCCACCACCUAGAGCUGAGAAGUUCUCCAAACCGCCCCACUUAGAGGAAGGAGAAGUCGUAACA